Molecule: ribosomal RNA, 490 nt
Filed under: uncultured bacterium
Lineage: Bacteria
Description: partial 16S ribosomal RNA
Rfam family: Bacterial small subunit ribosomal RNA
Source: RNAcentral
AGUGAACGCUGGCGGCAGGCCUAACACAUGCAAGUCGAACGGUAACAGGAAACAGCUUGCUGCUUUGCUGACGAGUGGCGGACGGGUGAGUGAUGUCUGGGAAACUGCCUGAUGUAGGGGGGUAACUACUGGAAACGGUAGCUAAUACCGCAUAACGUCGCAAGACCAAAGAGCGGGACCUUCGGGCCUCUUGCCAUCGGAUGUGCCCAGAUGGGAUUAGCUAGUAGGUGGGGUAACGGCGCACCUAGGCGACGAUCCCUAGCUGGUCUGAGAGGAUGACCAGCCACACUGGAACUGAGACACGGUCCAGACUCCUACGGGAGGCAGCAGUGGGGAAUAUUGCACAAUGGGCGCAAGCCUGAUGCAGCCAUGCCGCGUGUAUGAAGAAGGCCUUCGGGUUGUAAAGUACUUUCGGCGGGGAGGAAGGGAGUAAAGUUAAUACCUUUGCUCAUUGACGUUACCCGAAGAAGAAGCACCGGCUAACUCCGUG